CUCGUCAUGCUCACUUUUGGAUCGUAUCUCUGCUGCUCCCGACUGCAUGCAAGGCUUCAGUAUUAGUGCCAGAAGCAUGCAGAUGCUGAUUUCCAGAACAAAAUAAUCUCUGGUGGAUACAGUAAUCUGUCAUCUUCACCUCUGUGCCAGGGAGAACAAUGACCCAGACCCUUCUGGAAACUACGCUGAGGUGCAUGGAAGAGAGGGAGGUGAUACUGGACAACCAGCAUAGAUUCACAAGGGGCAAGUUCAGUCUGACCCACGUAGUGGCCUUCUAUGAUGGCAUACUCUCUCAACGGACCAGAGAGGAGCCCCUGUUGUCACCUCUUUAGGCUUCAGUAUGACCAUCGGCGCAGUCUCCUACAAUAUCCUUCUCUCCAGCUUGGCAAGAUAUAGAUUUGGUGGGUGGACUGUCUGAUGGAUGAAGAACUAGUUGUGAGGGGGCAGAACCAGGACAGCUAACUCAAACCAGCCAAAGGAAUGUCCCCUAUCAAGCAGUGUUGUGACCAAGCAGUAAAACUGUAGGAGCUGGCUAAGGAAACAGCUACUGCUCAGGAGCUGGCUGAACAUCAGUCAGUGGCAGUGAGCAAUUGCAUCGUGCAUCACUUGUUUUGAAUAUUCUUUUAUUAGUAGUAGUGUUAUCAUCAUCAUCAUAAUUUCCCCUUCAUUUUAAGUUCUAUUAAAACAUCUUUAUCUUAACCCAUGAGUUUUACCUUUCUUUUUUUCUCAUUCUUUCUCUCCUCUUACUACAGGGGAUUGAGAGAUGAAUCAGCCCUGUAUUGCUGU
Long non-coding RNA from Gallus gallus (chicken), 786 nucleotides. RefSeq lists it as uncharacterized. Lineage: Eukaryota; Metazoa; Chordata; Aves; Galliformes; Phasianidae. The record is from RefSeq and is a predicted model, not a curated record. The transcript is spliced from 3 exons.